This 240-nucleotide unclassified non-coding RNA is filed under the name soil metagenome. RNAcentral's name for it is "partial contains 5.8S ribosomal RNA, internal transcribed spacer 2, and large subunit ribosomal RNA". The record is from RNAcentral.
AACAUCGCGCACCUGCGGGAACCUGCGGAAGGAUCACUACAGAGUUGCAAAACUCCCUAAACCAUUGUGAACGUUACCUAAACCGUUGCUUCGGCGGGCGGCCCGGGUCCUUCCCGGCGCCCAUCGGCCCUCGCGGGCGCCCGCCGGAGGUAAACCAAACUAUUGCAUUGUAUGGCCUCUCUGAGUCUUCUGUACUGAAUAAGUCAAAACUUUCAACAAUGGAUCUCAGAUCGGAAGAGC